Molecule: ribosomal RNA, 508 nt
Filed under: bacterium enrichment culture clone ALO1_GLFRUDD03G08VN
Lineage: Bacteria
Description: bacterial SSU rRNA
Rfam family: Bacterial small subunit ribosomal RNA
Source: RNAcentral
GAGUUUGAUCAUGGCUCAGAUUGAACGCUGGCGGCAGGCCUAACACAUGCAAGUCGAGCGGAUGACGGGAGCUUGCUCCUUGAUUCAGCGGCGGACGGGUGAGUAAUGCCUAGGAAUCUGCCUGGUAGUGGGGGACAACGUUUCGAAAGGAACGCUAAUACCGCAUACGUCCUACGGGAGAAAGCAGGGGACCUUCGGGCCUUGCGCUAUCAGAUGAGCCUAGGUCGGAUUAGCUAGUUGGUGGGGUAAUGGCUCACCAAGGCGACGAUCCGUAACUGGUCUGAGAGGAUGAUCAGUCACACUGGAACUGAGACACGGUCCAGACUCCUACGGGAGGCAGCAGUGGGGGAAUAUUGGACAAUGGGCGAAAGCCUGAUCCAGCCAUGCCGCGUGUGUGAAGAAGGUCUUCGGAUUGUAAAGCACUUUAAGUUGGGAGGAAGGGCAGUAAGUUAAUACCUUGCUGUUUUGACGUUACCGACAGAAUAAGCACCAGCUAACUCUGUGCCAG